GCCCACCUUAUCGAGCAACCCGAAGUCGAGAAGCCGACAGUGUCCGACUAGAGGAGCAAGAGUAGAGGAGGGGCCUCUUCCACACGAUGUCCUUGCAUGGUGGAUAAGGCCUGUCCGAAUCGAAGAAGAGACCUCCAUUUCCAAAUUAUCAGUUCCAACACCCCAAGAACUGCUAAACCAGGAACCAAAUGCUUCAGUGACUCUGAGGGACCGGAACCAUGAAGGGACAGGAGACCAUCAGUAAGGCACCGACAGUAAAGUCCCUUGAGAUACCUACCUUCAAUAUAACUACUUCCUAG
Molecule: unclassified non-coding RNA, 299 nt
Filed under: Hevea brasiliensis (rubber tree)
Lineage: Eukaryota; Viridiplantae; Streptophyta; Magnoliopsida; Malpighiales; Euphorbiaceae
Source: RNAcentral